This 429-nucleotide ribosomal RNA is filed under the name Bacteroidota bacterium. Its description in RNAcentral is "Bacteroidetes bacterium partial 16S ribosomal RNA". It matches the Rfam family "Bacterial small subunit ribosomal RNA", at positions 355 to 776 of the family's 1533-position model. Lineage: Bacteria; Pseudomonadati; Bacteroidota. The record is from RNAcentral.
UAGGGAAUCUUCCGCAAUGGACGCAAGUCUGACGGAGCAACGCCGCGUGAGUGAAGAAGGAUCUCGGUUCGUAAAACUCUGUUGUUAGAGAAGAACAGCGCAUAGAGUAACUGUUAUGCGUGUGACGGUAUCUAACCAGAAAGCCACGGCUAACUACGUGCCAGCAGCCGCGGUCAUACGUAGGUGGCAAGCGUUGUCCGGAUUUAUUGGGCGUAAAGCGAGCGCAGGCGGUCAAUUAAGUCUGAUGUGAAAGCCCCCGGCUCAACCGGGGAGGGUCAUUGGAAACUGGUUGACUUGAGUGCAGAAGAGGAGAGGGGAAUUCCAUGUGUAGGGGUGAAAUGCGUAGAUAUAUGGAGAAACACAAGUGGCGAAGGCGACUCUCUGGUCUGUAACUGACGCUGAGGCUCGAAAGCGUGGGUAGCAAACAGG